Molecule: ribosomal RNA, 253 nt
Filed under: uncultured bacterium
Lineage: Bacteria
Description: partial 16S ribosomal RNA
Rfam family: Bacterial small subunit ribosomal RNA
Source: RNAcentral
UACGUAGGGUGCGAGCGUUAAUCGGAAUUACUGGGCGUAAAGCGUGCGCAGGCGGUGAUGUAAGACAGGUGUGAAAUCCCCGGGCUCAACCCGGGAACUGCGUCCGAUACUGGUGGGCUUGAAUCCGGGAGAGGGAUGUGGAAUUCCAGGUGUAGCGGUGAAAUGCGUAGAUAUCUGGAGGAACACCGGUGGCGAAGGCGGCAUCCUGGACCGGUAUUGACGCUGAGGCGCGAAAGCUAGGGGAGCAAACGGG